AAUAGAUACCCGGGUAGUCCACGCCGUAAACGAUGAGUGCUAAGUGUUAGAGGGUUUCCGCCCUUUAGUGCUGCAGCUAACGCAUUAAGCACUCCGCCUGGGGGAGUACGGGUCGCAAGACUGAAACUCAAAGGAAUUGACGGGGGCCCGCACAAGCGGUGGAGCAUGUGGUUUAAUUCGAAGCAACGCGAAGAACCUUACCAGGUCUUGACAUCCUCUGACAACUCUAGAGAUAGAGCGUUCCCCUUCGGGGGACAGAGUGACAGGUGGUGCAUGGUUGUCGUCAGCUCGUGUCGUGAGAUGUUGAGUUAAGUCCCGCAACGAGCGCAACCCUUGAUCUUAGUUGCCAGCAUUCAGUUGGGCACUCUAAGGUGACUGCCGGUGACAAACCGGAGGAAGGUGGGGAUGGACGUCAAAUCAUCAUGCCCCUUAUGACCUGGGCUACACACGUGCUACAAUGGAUGGUACAAAGGGCUGCAAGACCGCGAGGUCAAGCCAAUCCCAUAAAACCAUUCUCAAGUUCGGAUUG
Molecule: ribosomal RNA, 529 nt
Filed under: uncultured bacterium
Lineage: Bacteria
Description: bacterial SSU rRNA
Rfam family: Bacterial small subunit ribosomal RNA
Source: RNAcentral